AUUCAGCCCGCGCUUAUCGAGUGUUUUCUUCAUGCACGCACGCGCGUACCUCGCAUGGCGUGCGUCGCAUAUGCGCUUCCAUGGAUAGCGCAUCUCAGUGCUGAUCGGAACUCACGUCGUGCGGAUUAAUCCGUCCAACAUGGCUCCACAGUGCGCGCAUCCUGAGCACCAAUUGUUAUCUGGGAUAUGCAAGGCAAUUCGUCCUUUAAAUAGUAAGAAUUCCUAAAACGAAUCCAAAAGGUGGUUUCUUGUCGAAACCUGUGGGAAACACCGCUUCUCUACCAAAUACUAACAUGUAAGGGGCAAAACCAGUACUUUCAUGGACAGCCCUAUUAUAAGAAAAAACGGCAAAUCGAAGCCAUUCACCCCAGUUGUGUGGACCGUAAAAAUGACGCAAAUACUCAAUAAGAGUAUGAUGACUACCUUCGAUUGAUCCAAGACUUUGAAGAUGGUAAUAUUAUGGUGGCGUGCGACAACAACGGAAAGUCCAAUUCUCCAAAAUGAAGACUAUCAUCUACAAAAUUUAGAUCAGCAUGAUGCUGCCACAAAGCACCAACUUCAAUAAUUCCACCCUGUUGAAUAGGAAAGGAUUCCGUAACAACUUGAAAAGGGGUCUCCAAGCCUUUUAUCGUUAAUUUUACUUCUCCCAAGAAUAAGGGUAACAAUUUGCUUCACUGUCACGUACGAGUGGCUACACUUCUUCAGUUCUGGUCUUCAAAAUUCAAAGAUGUUCUUUUGCUGACAAAACUGGUCCAAACUCCGGAGGCCAAAAUGAUCCAAGUUCCUGAUACUGCGUUGCCGUAACCCUCUUGUGGACCGAUCCCUCUUUGCCACAACCCUUCCCGGGCGGAUCUUCUCUC
Molecule: long non-coding RNA, 860 nt
Organism: Belonocnema kinseyi
Lineage: Eukaryota; Metazoa; Arthropoda; Insecta; Hymenoptera; Cynipidae
Exons: 4
Source: RefSeq, a predicted model, not a curated record